UCCAAUUUGAAUUCAAACCUUCCACUUUCUCUGGACAACAACUAUUCAUUUACCUUCUCCAUAGUCCAUAUUACACUAAUGUCCAAAAACAUAUGCUCACUUUUAAGGAAAUUUCUCCAGAAAUUGGUCCUAAAGUCAGGUACUCAAUACCAUUUUCAGACUUAACCAAAAAUUCAGCAAAGCUGCCGAUUGUGACAAAGUGCCAAAUUUAGGCCUCCAUUUGAAAUGGUUCCCUCUGCUAUUCCUGAUCAACAACACUCAAACUGUGGAGUCCAAAGCUCAUACUUUAACAUGGUAUAGUUGUCCUGAUUUACUUAUUUGAGAAAUUUAUCAGAAUUCAAUUUCCAAAAUGUACUCUGAAGCUGUUUUUCUGAUUUCCUGUUUUCGUACGGUGAAUAGUAAACGUAGUUUUUCAUUUCCUUCUCUGAUUUCUUUUGAGUGUUUAGGAUCAAAUAUUAUUCCAAAUUGUUGACCCUUAAGUUCAAA
This 486-nucleotide long non-coding RNA is filed under the name Setaria italica (foxtail millet). RNAcentral's name for it is "long non-coding RNA (SITA_LNC002266)". The record is from RNAcentral. Lineage: Eukaryota; Viridiplantae; Streptophyta; Magnoliopsida; Poales; Poaceae.